CUUGUUAAUAUUUAUUAAAGGUAAAAUUUUACUUGUAGAUUGAAGAUGUAUCUGACCUGUCCACCUACACAAAAAAAAUCCUGGACUGUGGCUAAACUUGACCAACUGACACUGUCCACAAGAAAAGCAUAUUAAGAGCUCUUGCUUUACAUAUUACAACAAAACGCACCCCAAUGCUGCAACAACUGCGCGAGAGCCUUGAGAUAUACGAUCUUAUCAAAGUCUCACAGAGAAAACCACAGGAGUGACACGGUCACAGGAUAUGAUGACAGAGUUGACUCCCAUUACAUUUUAUCCCACCUGGCCCCAGAGAUGAGCCCAAAUAGUUCAAUUAAACAAGUGAAAGAGUCAAAAAUCAUGGAAUUAUUUCAAGAUUUCCUACUUGAGCUUGAAGAUAUGGACUAAAAACUAGUAUAAGCUGUUAUUUGAUAUCCAGGUGUAAAUAUGCUACUGUAGUUCCCAUUUAACAAAAUGUUGCGCAGAAACCAAAAUUUGAUCUUACGAUCAUUUCUCAGAUGUGCGUACGUGUGAUUCAUAGAAUGAAUGUACACACAGAAAAGAGCGUAUGCUAGAUAAGGUUUAUCCAAGAAGUCGCUAGGCACUUUUUUGGAAAAAAAGUCAGUAAAUUGGCAACACUGAUGCAGCCUUCUGUCUGAGACGCACCCAGUUUUACUCCUCCAGCUCCCAAUUACCAAACUGGUUCUGCAUGUGUAUCGCACCAAUGUAUAUAUUUUGUGAUUAAUUAUAAAAGCUAUAUUCAAAAUAAACUGAUUAAACAUUAAUUCUAAUUUCAAAACACUGUAUGGGGCAAGCUUUGACAGAGUGUAGCAAAUUUGCUGAAAUUGUCUACUGUAGAAACCUGCAGUUUCAUUGAUUCAUGUAUACCAAAGCAUUAUUUCUUACAAUGUUCACUCUUUACUUUACUCUUAUGAAUGUUUUUAAAUGCAUA
Molecule: long non-coding RNA, 949 nt
Organism: Ctenopharyngodon idella (grass carp)
Lineage: Eukaryota; Metazoa; Chordata; Actinopteri; Cypriniformes; Xenocyprididae
Exons: 3
Source: RefSeq, a predicted model, not a curated record